Molecule: ribosomal RNA, 508 nt
Filed under: uncultured bacterium
Lineage: Bacteria
Description: partial 16S ribosomal RNA
Rfam family: Bacterial small subunit ribosomal RNA
Source: RNAcentral
GAUGAGCGCUAGCUACAGGCUUAACACAUGCAAGUCGAGGGGAAACGACAUCGAAAGCUUGCUUUUGAUGGGCGUCGACCGGCGCACGGGUGAGUAACGCGUAUCCAACCUGCCCACCACUUGGGGAUAACCUUGCGAAAGUAAGACUAAUACCCAACGAUAUCUCUAGAAGACAUCUGAAGGAGAUUAAAGAUUUAUCGGCGAUGGAUGGGGAUGCGUCUGAUUAGCUGGUUGGCGGGGUACCGGCCCACCAAGGCGACGAUCAGUAGGGGUUCUGAGAGGAAGGUCCCCCACAUUGGAACUGAGACACGGUCCAAACUCCUACGGGAGGCAGCAGUGAGGAAUAUUGGUCAAUGGGCGAGAGCUUGAACCAGCCAAGUAGCGUGCAGGAUGACGGCCCUAUGGGUUGUAAACUGCUUUUAUAAGGGAAUAAAGUGAGCCUCGUGAGGCUUUUUGCAUGUACCUUAUGAAUAAGGACCGGCUAAUUCCGUGCCAGCCGCCGCUGUAA